This 338-nucleotide long non-coding RNA is filed under the name Cricetulus griseus (Chinese hamster). RNAcentral's name for it is "lncRNA (ENSCGRG00000024682.1)". Lineage: Eukaryota; Metazoa; Chordata; Mammalia; Rodentia; Cricetidae. The record is from RNAcentral.
AGGAAAGUUUAAAAAUAAAAAGUAAACAGAAAGGAAACAACUUUGGUCAUAGUCAGAGAGUAGCAAGAAUGGAGGAAGUCCAGGAUAUUCGUUUCAUUCUGGUACCACUCAGGAACUACCAGCUGAACUCCUUUACACACCUGGACCACCCUUUGAAGACAGCAACUUUGAACCCCACUACAGUGAGAUAUAGGAUGAUUGCAAAGAUGGAAAGGCAACACAGAGCGAAGAUCCUUUGAUAAAAACAUCUCUUCUCAGAUGUGUCUUGUUUUCCUUCUGAGAGCCCUUCUUUCUCUUAACUAUCCUGCUUCAGCAUCUAUUAAAAUGUCUUAUUAAAC